This 252-nucleotide ribosomal RNA is filed under the name uncultured archaeon. RNAcentral's name for it is "partial 16S ribosomal RNA". It matches the Rfam family "Archaeal small subunit ribosomal RNA", at positions 731 to 982 of the family's 1478-position model. The record is from RNAcentral.
AGAUACCCGCGUAGUCCCAGCCGUAAACUAUGCGCGUUAGGUGUAUCGGUGACCACGAGUUACCGAGGUUGCCGAAGGGAAACCGUGAAACGUGCCGCCUGGGAAGUACGGUCGCAAGGCUGAAACUUAAGGAAUUGGCGGGGGAGCACAACAACGGGUGGAGCCUGCGGUUUAAUUGGACUCAACGCCGGACAACUCACCGGGGACGACAGCAAUAUGUAGGCCAGGCUGAAGACCUUGCCUGAAUCGCUG